UUGGAGGGCAAGUCUGGUGCCAGCAGCCGCGGUAAUUCCAGCUCCAAUAGUGUAUAUUAAAGUUGUUGCAGUUAAAAAGCUCGUAGUUGAAUUUCGGGAUCAAUAUUUCGGUCAUGCCGUUGGUAUGCACUGUUAUCAUUGAUUUCUCACCUUCUAAAGAACCGUAAUGCCAUUAAUUUGGUGUUACGGGGAAUUAGGACUGUUACCUUGAAAAAAUUAGAGUGUUUAAAGCAGGCUCACGCUUGAAUACAUUAGCAUGGAAUAAUGAAAUAGGACAUCCGAUUCUAUUUUGUUGGUUUCUAGGAUCGAUGUAAUGAUUAAUAGGGAUAGUUGGGGGCAUUAGUAUUCAAUUGUCAGAGGUGAAAUUCUUGGAUUUAUUGAAGACUAACUACUGCGAAAGCAUUUGCCAAGGAUGUUUUCAUUAAUCAAGAACGAAAGUUAGGGGAUCGAAGACGAUCAGAUACCGUCGUAGUCUUAACCAUAAACUAUGCCGACUAGGGAUCGGAUGAUGUUAAUUUUUUAAUGACUCAUUCGGCGCCUUACGGGAAACGU
Molecule: ribosomal RNA, 552 nt
Filed under: uncultured Glomus
Lineage: Eukaryota; Fungi; Glomeromycota; Glomeromycetes; Glomerales; Glomeraceae
Description: SSU rRNA
Rfam family: Eukaryotic small subunit ribosomal RNA
Source: RNAcentral